RNAcentral lists this ribosomal RNA (269 nucleotides) under uncultured bacterium. RNAcentral describes it as "partial 16S ribosomal RNA". It matches the Rfam family "Bacterial small subunit ribosomal RNA", at positions 85 to 353 of the family's 1533-position model. The record is from RNAcentral.
UAGAUGGCGACCGGCGCACGGGUGAGUAACACGUAUCCAACCUGCCGAUGACUCGGGGAUAGCCUUUCGAAAGAAAGAUUAAUACCCGAUGGCAUAGUUCUUCCGCAUGGUAGAACUAUUAAAGAAUUUCGGUCAUCGAUGGGGAUGCGUUCCAUUAGGUUGUUGGCGGGGUAACGGCCCACCAAGCCUUCGAUGGAUAGGGGUUCUGAGAGGAAGGUCCCCCACAUUGGAACUGAGACACGGUCCAAACUCCUACGGGAGGCAGCAUG